CCUACGGGUGGCAGCAGUGAGGAAUAUUGGUCAAUGGGCUUACGCCUGAACCAGCCAAGUCGCGUGAGGGAAGAAUGCCCUAUGGGUUGUAAACCUCUUUUGUCAGGGAGCAAAUGGCGCUACGUGUAGCGGUAUCGAGAGUACCUGAAGAAAAAGAAUCGGCUAACUCCGUGCCAGCAGCCGCGGUAAUACGGAGGAUGCGAGCGUUAUCCGGAUUUAUUGGGUUUAAAGGGUGCGUAGGCGGGAGGCCAAGUCAGCGGUAAAAUCGCGGGGCUCAACCUCGGUCCGCCGUUGAAACUGGCGUGCGUGAGUGGGAGAGAAGUAUGCGGAAUGCGUGGUGUAGCGGUGAAAUGCAUAGAUAUCACGAAGAACUCCGAUUGCGAAGGCAGCAUACCGGCGCCAAACUGACGCUGAAGCACGAAAGCGUGGGUAUCGAACAGGAUUAGAUACCCCUGUAGUC
This 460-nucleotide ribosomal RNA is filed under the name uncultured bacterium. Its description in RNAcentral is "partial 16S ribosomal RNA". It matches the Rfam family "Bacterial small subunit ribosomal RNA", at positions 338 to 795 of the family's 1533-position model. The record is from RNAcentral.